CUUAGCUACAGUACCCGGUUAGAGUCCGUGGUCCAGCUUACUUAUGUCCAGGCUUAGCUACAGUACCCGGUUAGAGUCCGUGGUCCAGCUUACCUGUGAUCUGGUUUUGGCUACAGUACCCGGUUCGAGUCCGCGGUCCAGCCCACCCGUGCCCGACCUUUGGCUACAGCACCCGGUUCGAGUCUGUGGUCCAGCCCAUGUAGGUUGACUCAUUAGCUAUAGUACCCGGUUCGAGUCUGUGGUCCAGCCCAUGUAGGUUGACUCAUUAGCUAUAGUACCCGGUUCGAGUCUGUGGUCCAGCCCAUGUAGGUUGACUCAUUAGCUAUAGUACCCGGUUCGAGUCUGUGGUCCAGCCCAUGUAGGUUGACUCAUUAGCUAUAGUACCCGGUUCGAGUCUGUGGUCCAGCCCAUGUAGGUUGACUCAUUAGCUAUAGUACCCGGUUCGAGUCUGUGGUCCAGCCCAUGUAGGUUGACUCAUUAGCUAUAGUACCCGGUUCGAGUCCGUGGUCCAGCCCAUAUAGGUUGACUCAUUAGCUAUAGUACCCGGUUCGAGUCCGUGGUCCAGCCCAUAUAGGUUGACUCAUUAGCUAUAGUACCCGGUUCGAGUCCGUGGUCCAGCCCAUAUAGGUUGACUCAUUAGCUAUAGUACCCGGUUCGAGUCCGUGGUCCAGCCCAUAUAGGUUGACUCAUUAGCUAUAGUACCCGGUUCGAGUCCGUGGUCCAGCCCAUAUAGGUUGACUCAUUAGCUAUAGUACCCGGUUCGAGUCCGUGGUCCAGCUUGCACGUGGUGUAUUCCCAAUUCCUCACUAAAGCUUCAGUUUAGUCUUGAUUACUCUCAUCUGUAGGUUGAG
Molecule: long non-coding RNA, 851 nt
Filed under: Solanum tuberosum (potato)
Lineage: Eukaryota; Viridiplantae; Streptophyta; Magnoliopsida; Solanales; Solanaceae
Description: long non-coding RNA (STUB_LNC000005)
Source: RNAcentral